GACGAACGCUGGCGGCGUGCUUAACACAUGCAAGUCGAACGGAAAGGCCCUGCUUUUGUGGGGUGCUCGUGUGGCGAACGGGUGUGUAACACGUGUGUAACCUGCCCCUGUCUUUGGGAUAACUUCAGGAAACUGGGGCUAAUACCGGAUAGGAGCUCCUGCUGCAUGGUGUGGGUUGGUAAGUUUCGGCGGUUGGGGAUGGACUCGCGGCUUAUCAGCUUGUUGGGGGGGUAGUGGCUUACCAAGGCUUUGACGGGUCGCCGGCCUGAGAGGGUGACCGGCAACAUUGGAACUGGGAUACGGCCCAGACUCCUACGGGAGGCAGCAGUGGGGAAUAUUGCACAAUGGGCCGAAGCCGAAUGCAGCAACGCCGCGUGCGGGAUGACGGCCUUCGGGUUGAAACCCGCUUUCGCCUGUGACGAAGCGUGAGUGACGGUAAUGAGUUAAGAAGCACCGGCUAACUACGUG
This 468-nucleotide ribosomal RNA is filed under the name uncultured bacterium. RNAcentral describes it as "partial 16S ribosomal RNA". It matches the Rfam family "Bacterial small subunit ribosomal RNA", at positions 28 to 507 of the family's 1533-position model. The record is from RNAcentral.